UACGGGGGGGGCAAGCGUUGUUCGGAAUUACUGGGCGUAAAGGGCUCGUAGGUGGCCAACUAAGUCAGACGUGAAAUCCCCAGGCUCAACUUGGGAACUGCGUCUGAUACUGGAUGGCUUGAAUCCGGGAGAGGGAUGCAGAAUUCCAGGUGUAGCGGUGAAAUGCGUAGAUAUCUGGAGGAACACCGGUGGCGAAGGCGGGAUCCUGGGCCAGUACUGACGCUGAGGAGCGAAAGCGUGGGGAGCAAACGGG
This 253-nucleotide ribosomal RNA is filed under the name uncultured bacterium. Its description in RNAcentral is "partial 16S ribosomal RNA". It matches the Rfam family "Bacterial small subunit ribosomal RNA", at positions 524 to 776 of the family's 1533-position model. The record is from RNAcentral.